Molecule: transfer RNA, 85 nt
Filed under: Felis catus (domestic cat)
Lineage: Eukaryota; Metazoa; Chordata; Mammalia; Carnivora; Felidae
Also listed under: 3 other names
Rfam family: tRNA
About the family: Transfer RNA (tRNA) molecules are approximately 80 nucleotides in length. Their secondary structure includes four short double-helical elements and three loops (D, anti-codon, and T loops).
Source: Rfam by way of RNAcentral
GCCUGGGUGGCUCAGUUGGUUGAGUGUCUGACUUUGGCUCAGGUCAUGAUCUCACCAUUCAUGAGUUUGAGCCCCAUGUCAGGCU